UGGGGAAUAUUGCACAAUGGGGGAAACCCUGAUGCAGCGACGCCGCGUGAACGAAGAAGGUAUUCGUAUCGUAAAGUUCUGUCCUAUGGGAAGAUAAUGACAGUACUAUAGAAGAAAGCUCCGGCUAAAUACGUGCCAGCAGCCGCGGUAAUACGUAUGGAGCGAGCGUUGUCCGGAGUUAUUGGGCGUAAAGGGUACGCAGGCGGUUUAAUAAGUCGAAUGUUGAAGAUCGGGGCUCAACCCCGCAAAGCAUUGGAAACUGAUAAACUUGAGUAGUGGAGAGGAAAGUGGAAUUCCUAGUGUAGUGGUGAAAUACGUAGAUAUUAGGAGGAAUACCAGUAGCGAAGGCGACUUUCUGGACACAAACUGACGCUGAGGUACGAAAGCGUGGGGAGCAAACAGG
RNAcentral lists this ribosomal RNA (403 nucleotides) under bacterium. RNAcentral describes it as "partial 16S ribosomal RNA". It matches the Rfam family "Bacterial small subunit ribosomal RNA", at positions 355 to 776 of the family's 1533-position model. The record is from RNAcentral.